Non-coding RNA from Lasiosphaeria miniovina, 95 nucleotides. The record is from the annotation of a RefSeq genome assembly. Lineage: Eukaryota; Fungi; Ascomycota; Sordariomycetes; Sordariales; Lasiosphaeriaceae.
GGGUGUAUGGUCUAGUGGUAUGAUUUUCGCUUCGCAUUACGUCCUCCCUCUGUAUGCCCUGUGAAAGGUCCCCGGUUCAAUCCCGGGUGCAUCCA